This 497-nucleotide ribosomal RNA is filed under the name uncultured bacterium. RNAcentral describes it as "partial 16S ribosomal RNA". It matches the Rfam family "Bacterial small subunit ribosomal RNA", at positions 28 to 507 of the family's 1533-position model. The record is from RNAcentral.
GAUGAACGCUGGCGGCGUGCCUAAUACAUGCAAGCCGAGCGAACAGACGAGGAGCUUGCUCCUCUGACGUUAGCGGCGGACGGGUGAGUAACACGUGGAUAACCUACCUAUAAGACUGGGAUAACUUCGGGAAACCGGAGCUAAUACCGGAUAAUAUAUUGAACCGCAUGGUUCAAAAGUGAAAGACGGUUUUGCUGUCACUUAUAGAUGGAUCCGCGCCGCAUUAGCUAGUUGGUAAGGUAACGGCUUACCAAGGCAACGAUGCGUAGCCGACCUGAGAGGGUGAUCGGCCACACUGGAACUGAGACACGGUCCAGACUCCUACGGGAGGCAGCAGUAGGGAAUCUUCCGCAAUGGGCGAAAGCCUGACGGAGCAACGCCGCGUGAGUGAUGAAGGUCUUCGGAUCGUAAAACUCUGUUAUUAGGGAAGAACAAAUGUGUAAGUAACUAUGCACGUCUUGACGGUACCUAAUCAGAAAGCCACGGCUAACUACGUG